RNAcentral lists this ribosomal RNA (959 nucleotides) under Oscillatoria salina. RNAcentral describes it as "bacterial SSU rRNA". It matches the Rfam family "Bacterial small subunit ribosomal RNA", at positions 533 to 1494 of the family's 1533-position model. The record is from RNAcentral. Lineage: Bacteria; Bacillati; Cyanobacteriota; Cyanophyceae; Oscillatoriales; Oscillatoriaceae.
CCCGGGACGUUUCCGGAUUAUUGGGCGUAAAGAGUCCGUAGGUGGUCAUGCAAGUCUGCUGUCAAAGCCCACAGCUUAACUGUGGAUCGGCGGUGGAAACUGUGUGACUUGAGUACGGUAGGGGUAGAGGGAAUUCCCAGUGUAGCGGUGAAAUGCGUAGAUAUUGGGAAGAACACCGGUGGCGAAAGCGCUCUACUGGACCGUAACUGACACUGAGGGACGAAAGCUAAGGUAGCGAAAGGGAUUAGAUACCCCUGUAGUCUUAGCCGUAAACGAUGGAUACUAGGCGUUGUCUGUAUCGACCCGGACAGUGCCGAAGCUAACGCGUUAAGUAUCCCGCCUGGGGAGUACGCACGCAAGUGUGAAACUCAAAGGAAUUGACGGGGGCCCGCACAAGCGGUGGAGUAUGUGGUUUAAUUCGAUGCAACGCGAAGAACCUUACCAAGAUUUGACAUCCCGUGAAUCUUGCAGAGAUGCGAGAGUGCCUUCGGGAGCACGGAGACAGGUGGUGCAUGGCUGUCGUCAGCUCGUGUCGUGAGAUGUUGGGUUAAGUCCCGCAACGAGCGCAACCCUCGUCCUUAGUUGCCAGCAUUAAGUUGGGCACUCUAGGGAGACUGCCGGGGACAACUCGGAGGAAGGUGGGGAUGACGUCAAGUCAUCAUGCCCCUUACAUUUUGGGCUACACACGUACUACAAUGGUCGGGACAAAGGGCAGCAACCCCGCGAGGGCAAGCGAAUCUCAUCAAACCCGGCCUCAGUUCAGAUUGCAGGCUGCAACUCGCCUGCAUGAAGGAGGAAUCGCUAGUAAUCGCAGGUCAGCAUACUGCGGUGAAUCCGUUCCCGGGCCUUGUACACACCGCCCGUCACACCAUGGAAGCUGGCAACGCCCGAAGUCGUUACUCUAACCGUUCGCGGAGGAGGGCGCCGAAGGCAGUGCUAGUGACUGGGGUGAGCGACAA